RNAcentral lists this ribosomal RNA (658 nucleotides) under uncultured eukaryote. RNAcentral's name for it is "SSU rRNA". It matches the Rfam family "Eukaryotic small subunit ribosomal RNA", at positions 431 to 1095 of the family's 1831-position model. The record is from RNAcentral.
GGCGCGCAAAUUACCCAAUCCCGACUCGGGGAGGUAGUGACAAUAAAUACUGAUACAGGGCUCUUUUGGGUCUUGUAAUUGGAAUGAGUACAAUUUAAAUCCCUUAACGAGGAACAAUUGGAGGGCAAGUCUGGUGCCAGCAGCCGCGGUAAUUCCAGCUCCAAUAGCGUAUAUUAAAGUUGUUGUGGUUAAAAAGCUCGUAGUUGAACCUUGGGCCUGGCUGGCCGGUCCGCCUCACCGCGUGUACUGGUCCGGCCGGGCCUUUCCCUCUGUGGAACCCCAUGCCCUUCACUGGGUGUGGCGGGGAAACAGGACUUUUACUUUGAAAAAAUUAGAGUGCUCCAGGCAGGCCUAUGCUCGAAUACAUUAGCAUGGAAUAAUAAAAUAGGACGUGUGGUUCUAUUUUGUUGGUUUCUAGGACCGCCGUAAUGAUUAAUAGGGACAGUCGGGGGCAUCAGUAUUCAAUUGUCAGAGGUGAAAUUCUUGGAUUUAUUGAAGACUAACUACUGCGAAAGCAUUUGCCAAGGAUGUUUUCAUUAAUCAGGAACGAAAGUUAGGGGAUCGAAGACGAUCAGAUACCGUCGUAGUCUUAACCAUAAACUAUGCCGACUAGGGAUCGGACGAUGUUAUUAUUUGACUCGUUCGGCACCUUACGAGA